UGGGGAAUAUUGCACAAUGGGCGCAAGCCUGAUGCAGCCAUGCCGCGUGUGUGAAGAAGGCCUUCGGGUUGUAAAGCACUUUCAGCGAGGAGGAAGGUGGUGAGCUUAAUACGCUCAUCAAUUGACGUUACUCGCAGAAGAAGCACCGGCUAACUCCGUGCCAGCAGCCGCGGUAAUACGGAGGGUGCAAGCGUUAAUCGGAAUUACUGGGCGUAAAGCGCACGCAGGCGGUUUGUUAAGUCAGAUGUGAAAUCCCCGGGCUCAACCUGGGAACUGCAUUUGAAACUGGCAAGCUAGAGUCUCGUAGAGGGGGGUAGAAUUCCAGGUGUAGCGGUGAAAUGCGUAGAGAUCUGGAGGAAUACCGGUGGCGAAGGCGGCCCCCCUGGACGAAGACUGACGCUCAGGUGCGAAAGCGUGGGGCAGCAAACAGGAUUAGAUACCCUGGUAGUCCACGCUGUAAACGAUGUCGAUUUGGAGGUUGUGCCCCUUGAGGCGUGGNUUCCGGAGCUAACGCGUUAAAGUCGACCGCCUGGGGGAGUACGGCNCAAGGUUAAAACUUAAAUGAAUUG
Molecule: ribosomal RNA, 569 nt
Filed under: uncultured bacterium
Lineage: Bacteria
Description: partial 16S ribosomal RNA
Rfam family: Bacterial small subunit ribosomal RNA
Source: RNAcentral